AGACACUAGGUGGAAGCCUUGGGCUGUGGUUCCACCGCAGCUGCUGACGGCAGGGAGAACAGAGGACUUGUGCUUUCAGAAAGGAGAUCUUUUUCUUUUCUUUUCUUCUUGCUUUCACAUGCUAGAAGGGGAAGUCCAUGCUCUCCAGGUGCGCAAAGGGGUGAGCGGAAGAAUGGAGAAGUGUCAGUCCCAUCCCGGGUCCUCCCUGCAACAGGAUCUUUGCAGUGACUUCAAGAUCUCCAUGGCUGUUCUGCAGACAGAUGCACAAUUGUGAAACAUCAAUAUGGACUGCAAAUCUCUACUGCCAGUCAGCUCCUCUUACCCUCUGCAUAACGUAAUCCCUGUCUUCACAAUGCCUGCACAGUUACACAUUUGCAAAGAUGUUUUUCUGGAGAUAGUGUGCAUAGGAAACACUCCCUUACUUGUUCUCAUCUCCAGCAACAUUAUAUGGAGUUUCAGUUCACAGUUCACUGUGUUCCCCCUCCUACCACUGAAAUGCAGCCAACUCCGAGCUGUGGCUAUUAAACAUCACACAAGCAACACCAUGAAACAGAUUGUGGAAAGCAAAGGAAUUCAGAGAAAAGCAACAAAUUGAGUGAGGCCUGCAAGGGUUUUCUGGGAAGUGAUUACAAAAGAUCAUAGGGAAUGAGUAGUGGUUAAUUGUGAUGAAGAAUAGCCAUCACAUUGAUUUUCAGGUCAUACCAGCACACAAGGUCGAGUUUUUGAGGGUGGCACAAAGAGAUGUCACUAAGAACAGUCAAGUUACAGCCAGGGAGACGAGCAUGUCAUCUUCCCUAACCACUGAGUUUCUCAGACUGUCAGAGUCCCAAGGAAAGGGCUGCAGGCAUCAUUGCCUGAGGGUUUUAAAACUGGUCAAGGUUUCAAGAAAGGACAAAACACUAUCAGGACAAAUGAAUAAAACAAGAUGGAGCAA
Acanthisitta chloris (rifleman) is the source of this 934-nucleotide long non-coding RNA. RefSeq lists it as uncharacterized. The record is from RefSeq and is a predicted model, not a curated record. Lineage: Eukaryota; Metazoa; Chordata; Aves; Passeriformes; Acanthisittidae. The transcript has 2 exons.